CCUACGGGAGGCAGCAGUGGGGAAUAUUGGGCAAUGGGCGCAAGCCUGACCCAGCAACGCCGCGUGAAGGAAGAAGGCUUUCGGGUUGUAAACUUCUUUUCUCAGGGACGAAGAAAGUGACGGUACCUGAGGAAUAAGCCACGGCUAACUACGUUCCAGCAGCCGCGGUAAUCCGUAGGUGGCACGCGUUAUCCGGAUUUAUUGGGGGUAAAGGGCGUGUAGGCGGGAGCGCAAGUCAAAUGUGAAAACUCAGGGCUUAACCCUGAGCCUGCAUUUGAAACUGUGUUUCUUGAGUGGUGGAGAGGCAAGCGGAAUUCCGGGUGUAGAGGUGAAAUGCGUAGAUAUACGGAGGAACACCAGUGGCGAAGGCGGAUUGCUGGACAGUAACUGACGCUGAGGCGCGAAAGCGUGGGGAGCAAACAGGAUUAGAUACCCGAGUAGUC
RNAcentral lists this ribosomal RNA (443 nucleotides) under uncultured bacterium. RNAcentral describes it as "partial 16S ribosomal RNA". It matches the Rfam family "Bacterial small subunit ribosomal RNA", at positions 338 to 795 of the family's 1533-position model. The record is from RNAcentral.